AGUAAAAUAUCUGGGUCAAAUGGUGGUUCCAUUCCCAAGAAAUCUUCAUACUGUUUUCCAAAUUGGCUGCACCAUUUUGCAGUCUCACCAGCAAU
Molecule: microRNA precursor, 95 nt
Filed under: Marmota monax (woodchuck)
Lineage: Eukaryota; Metazoa; Chordata; Mammalia; Rodentia; Sciuridae
Source: RNAcentral